This 530-nucleotide ribosomal RNA is filed under the name uncultured Stenotrophomonas sp. RNAcentral describes it as "bacterial SSU rRNA". It matches the Rfam family "Bacterial small subunit ribosomal RNA", at positions 395 to 916 of the family's 1533-position model. Lineage: Bacteria; Pseudomonadati; Pseudomonadota; Gammaproteobacteria; Lysobacterales; Lysobacteraceae. The record is from RNAcentral.
UGCCGCGUGGGUGAAGAAGGCCUUCGGGUUGUAAAGCCCUUUUGUUGGGAAAGAAAUCCAGCCGGCUAAUACCUGGUUGGGAUGACGGUACCCAAAGAAUAAGCACCGGCUAACUUCGUGCCAGCAGCCGCGGUAAUACGAAGGGUGCAAGCGUUACUCGGAAUUACUGGGCGUAAAGCGUGCGUAGGUGGUUGUUUAAGUCUGUUGUGAAAGCCCUGGGCUCAACCUGGGAACUGCAUUGGAAACUGGACAACUAGAGUGUGGUAGAGGGUAGCGGAAUUCCCGGUGUAGCAGUGAAAUGCGUAGAGAUCGGGAGGAACAUCCAUGGCGAAGGCAGCUACCUGGACCAACACUGACACUGAGGCACGAAAGCGUGGGGAGCAAACAGGAUUAGAUACCCUGGUAGUCCACGCCCUAAACGAUGCGAACUGGAUGUUGGGUGCAAUUUGGCACGCAGUAUCGAAGCUAACGCGUUAAGUUCGCCGCCUGGGGAGUACGGUCGCAAGACUGAAACUCAAAGGAAUUGACGG